Molecule: ribosomal RNA, 696 nt
Filed under: Triticum aestivum (bread wheat)
Lineage: Eukaryota; Viridiplantae; Streptophyta; Magnoliopsida; Poales; Poaceae
Description: partial small subunit ribosomal RNA
Source: RNAcentral
AUGGCCUCUACGGAAACCACUAGCAGCUGCAAGAAGCUGCGCGUGCUCCUCAUCCCCUUCUUCGCCUCCAGCCACAUCGGACCUUUCACCGAGCUCGCCGUCAGCCUUGCGACGGCCAGACCACGGGCGGUAGAGGCCACCAUCGCAGUGACGCCGGCGAACGUGCCGAUUGUCCGGUCGUUGCUCCGGCGGCACGAGAAUGCGGCUAACGGCGGCACACCUGUCAAGGUGGCGACGUACCCGUUCCCGUCCGUGGACGGCCUCCCCAAGGGCGUCGAGAACCUCAGCGCGGUAGCACAGGCCGACGCAUGGCGCAUCGACGUGGCUGCGGUCAGCGACACGCUGAUGCGCCCCGUGCAGGAAACCCUCAUCAGGGCGCAGUCACCGGACGCGCUCGUCACCGACGUACACUUCAUGUGGAACGCCGGCGUCUGCGAGGAGCUCGGUGUGCCAUGCGUCACGUUCAACGUCGUCGGCGCCUUCUCGACGCUGGCGAUGCGCCAUCUCACGCUGGCGCUCAUUUCCAAUUCCAACACCAACAUCAACAUCAAGCCGGAGCCGGAGGCGGUGAGCGUCCCUCGGUUUCCGGCCCCUGAGAUACGAGUGCCCACGAUGCCCACGUUCACUGGAAGUCAGUGUCUCACUUUGAUCACUGUACUUCAAAAUACCCUAAAUACAAUUACUAAAGUUGCUUAA